CCCCUCUCAUUUUCGUCCAUCUCUCCCCCCCUCUCUACUCUCACUAUUUUCUUUUCAAUCCAUUAUGGAAGAACACUCCAAAGCUUCUAAACACAUGGAUCCACCAUCACCAUUCCUAGAGCUAGCCUUCAAUCACCAAGAAUCAAGAGAAUGAUCAAGCUAGAGUUUCCAAACCCAAGUGGAUCAAAGAGUUCGCCAUUUUCUUAAAUAUUGAGGGUCCGGGCGACAGGAAGUGAAGCCGAAGAAGAAGCGACUCCACGCUAGCUUAAGAACGUUUGAGGUUGAGCAGCUGAUGGAAUGGAAUGGUGUUGAGCGGGUGUUCCUUUGAUCAUUUCAAGAAAUGUAACCUUGAGUAUACAUCUUCAUAUGUAUAUCUCACACGUUUUCCACUGCAAAACACUUUGCUUAGGAUAACUCUAUGUUAUGAAGUUGUGAUACGUGUUAUUGGGUAACCCACCUUAAUCAGUUCUCCUUUAUGUGUAUGUUUUAUAAGUAUCCAAAUGAUCAUAUAUGAUCCUAGCAUUUUAUCUACAAGUGACAUUUCCAUAUACUUUAAUGUUAAGUAAUUAUCCAUUUCCGUUUCCACUCA
Long non-coding RNA from Salvia miltiorrhiza (redroot sage), 589 nucleotides. RefSeq lists it as uncharacterized. The transcript has 3 exons. The record is from RefSeq and is a predicted model, not a curated record. NCBI's taxonomy places the organism in Eukaryota, Viridiplantae, Streptophyta, Magnoliopsida, Lamiales, Lamiaceae.